AAGGAAGAGAGGAAGCCAAGUGAUUCUAUGCAAGUUCAAACUCCAAAACAAGGAUCAUGAGACAUCAAUGAAGAGGAAUAGCAAAGGCUGAACAGGUUACCUCAAUAUUGGAAGCAAAUGGAGCAAGAGGAAAACUUAAAACAUACAAGGUUAUGCUCAUGGGAAAGCAAUGCUCACAGGAGAACAAAGAAAGAAAGGAAGAAAUGUGAAAUAGUGUAUUACAACCUUCCGGUUCUUAAU
Molecule: long non-coding RNA, 240 nt
Organism: Neltuma alba
Lineage: Eukaryota; Viridiplantae; Streptophyta; Magnoliopsida; Fabales; Fabaceae
Exons: 3
Source: RefSeq, a predicted model, not a curated record